This is a long non-coding RNA of Herpailurus yagouaroundi (jaguarundi), 843 nucleotides long. RefSeq lists it as uncharacterized. The transcript is spliced from 2 exons. Lineage: Eukaryota; Metazoa; Chordata; Mammalia; Carnivora; Felidae. The record is from RefSeq and is a predicted model, not a curated record.
ACAGAAAGAUUACACUUAGCUUAGAAUUUGUCAAAGCAUGAAGGUGUUAUCCAUUAACUGGAUGAGUCAAAUGAUGAUGCGAGGGAAAACCUUCAACCGUGAGUGAAAGCAGUCAUCUGAGUGGCUGUUAGUAUUGUCUGAGGGCUGAGAAAUGACUCCCUUUUGUUCUUAGGUAGACAUGCAGAAACAAACAAAAUGAAGUGACAGUUUGUUUCACCUCUUGGUGAUGCAAAGAAACCACAUUGUGAGUUCGGUGGACAGCAAAUUAUUUGACUCGUACAAUAAAGUUUAAUAAACCUGGCUGUUGUAGAGGAAACUCAAGACUUUAACAAUAGCAACGAGAACAACAGCAGCAACAGCAGGACUUUCUUGGUGUUCCUGGCCUUCUGCCUGACGUCCAGAGUUGCCUGCAUUCUGACAAGACAGAAUGGCUCACCUAGCUUCAGAACAACAGCAGAGGUGCCAACACAAAGUAGACCAGAUACGCUGUCCAAAACACCCCUCCAUGGUUAUUCCAAACCAGGACUAAGCCAGGAGGUGUUCCAAAAAUAUAUCACUAUAUUUUGGCCUGAGUGUCACUUCCCCACUUGGCAAGCUAGGGCUAGAGAAAUUGGAACAGAGAUUUCAUGGUAGCCUGUCUUAUAUCCUCUCCUCUCAGAUAUACAUCUUUGACUUGUCCCAUCUCCAAUGACACAGUUGCCCCAGCUUUUAUAAUUAUUUGUACAUACCAGAAAGGAGCAGAAGCUGUACAUUUUGUCUCCAAACUUCUCCAAAAUAAUUUCAGCCAAACGGUUCUCUUCACACUAAAAUGUUUUCAAGUGAAUAAAUGACCAACUGAAUGAA